Molecule: long non-coding RNA, 267 nt
Organism: Saccostrea echinata
Lineage: Eukaryota; Metazoa; Mollusca; Bivalvia; Ostreida; Ostreidae
Exons: 3
Source: RefSeq, a predicted model, not a curated record
GGGAGAUAUGGGUUAUGAAAUCGAGAAAACUGUUUUACUCAAAUUAAUUGGAGGUUCUUUUUGAGAAUGGAUUCAAGAACAACGACUAUUCAAGAUAUACUGGGUCUCAUGCAGAAAAAUUUAGAAUGUUCCAUUUGCUUAGAUUUGCUGACAAAUCCAGUAUCCACAAAAUGUGAUCAUCCAUUUUGCAGGUUCUGCAUCACAGAAUUCCUGAAGACUAAGACCUCUGUGCCAUGUCCUCUUUGUAAAUGUCCAAUCACAAAACGG